GUGCCCUGACUGUCUACUGUGCAUGUUGUUUUUUUUUGUUAGGUGAAAAUCACCUUUAGGCAGUUAUUUAUAUCGGAAGUUUCAUCACACCGCUUAGAAUUCCCACAUUGUGAUUGAAAUGUAAAGAAAUGUAGCUAAGUUUGACACGAUUUAACCAGGUCUGCGGCGUUAAAUUGGCUAGUUAAAUGUCAAUGCACUGAAGCUUUGUAACGAAUUUAUUAGCUAGCAGUAUCUAACAUGCAACUAACUGUCUUUAAUACAUCCUGAAGGGUGUAGAACGCAUAUUUUGGGACUUUAAUCAAACAAGAUGAAGGAGCCAGAACUGUAACACAGUUUGCACUGGCAUUAGACACCGAUGUAUGUUGCCUAGAAACCCGGCGUUAGGGGCAGAAGCUAGAGUUUGAAUCAGGAAAGUUUACUCUCACGACCUCUACAAGCCAAAAUGUUGAAUACGAUUAUAUUUUGAUGUACUUUACUGUUUGUCCGUGCUGUUGGUUCUUUUGGCUUUAGAAAUGUGAGACAAUAUAUCCACAGGAAAUGAUAAUUACAUAAACUUGUCAAUGCAUUUAGAUGUAUAUCCCUGAAGCAUACGCAGAUCCAUGUAAUCACGAACUGGGCAAGUAUGCAUUUCUCCUGCAAGUCAUUUAAAACUUGUGCGCAGAGGAAUGCACAAACAUUGCUUUGAAAAUGUGUUGUAAUUAUACUUUCCUGUGGAUAUAUAUUGUCUUACAUUCCUACCGCCAAAAGGACCAACCACACUGACAACCGGUAAAGUGCAUUCAAAUAUUAUUUUAUUCAACCUUCUGGAUUUUAGAGGUGGUGAGAGGAAACGUUCCUGAUUCAAACACUAAUUUCUGCCCAAAGUAGAAUUCUCUGCAAUUCAACGUUGUGUUCAGGCAACCUGUUCAGGCACCUGUUUUCUGCACACACACCACCACCACCAAUAUGCUCAGUACACUGACAAAAUAUGUCAAAGUUCCCAGUGGAGAGGAUCAUUAAUGUCGGCAUCAUUGCUCACAUUGACCAUAGGAAGAGCACCUUGGCUGACAGGCUUCUGGAAAUUACAGGGAUGUAUCCUAUUGACCAGUCGGACUACAGCGCCCUCCGCAGUGCUGUGGAGAAACUGCAGUUUGAUGUGCAGGACAGCAGUCUGGGCACCGGGAGCAGUACCAAUUAAAUUAUCAUCUAAUCUCUCAUCCACUACUCAAAGCUACGCAAGUGGCUAGGCUUCCUGGGCCUGCUCCACAGAGUUGUUUCACCAGUGCUUGGAGAAGGAGUACAACUCCUCUGUCAAAGUGACAACCUCCACCAUGCCUACGAGGCUGUCCUGUCCUGCGCCAAGCUCAUUGAGGAGCAUGGGAAAGAGAAGAUCUGCAUAGUGAACCCAGUUCUCAGACAGGUCUGUAGUGACAGAGUACCUGGAUCCCAUGGUGAUGGGGACCAUCUUCGCCCCUGACAACUACACUGGGAAAAUCAUGAGUAUCUGCUUGUUGUGAGUAUGAGGAUACAGGGUACCGGGCAGCCAAUGUGAUCAAGAUGGAUAUUCUGCUGAACAGGAAACCUGUGGAGGAACUCACCCCUGUUGUUCACAAAGAGAUUGGGCGUACAGUGCAGGCAAUGCCAUGUCCGAGCACCUGCAUGACGCCAGAACCGGACUAAUGUUUGAGAUCACAGUACAAACAGCCAUCGGCAGCAAAGGGAGACCACAGAGAUGAUAACCAGAACGAUGACACGCCUGAAGAACCAGGCAGAGUGUAAAAAGAAGAUGCGGUAUGUUGGCACGUGCAAGUCCCCCAAAAGAUGUCUUCCUCAGUGUUCUGAAGAGGAAAGACAAGUAGAAUAUCAGUAUCCUUAUUUAUUGAAGCACGUUUUUGUUCAACAAAUAGACUUUAAAACAGCAAAAUAACUUUUAAAAUGUCCCAUACAUAACUUUAACCCCAAAAAAGUUAUAAUGUAGAUCUCAUUGACAAGAAAAAUAUUUGACGACAUGCACAGAUUACUCCCUCAAACAGACUUUAAGUGCAAGGUGCAAUACAUCAAUGAACGCCUGUAAAUAAUAAAACAAGAUGUGUUAUGUCAUUUGUUCUGUU
Long non-coding RNA from Oncorhynchus keta (chum salmon), 2090 nucleotides. RefSeq lists it as uncharacterized. The record is from RefSeq and is a predicted model, not a curated record. NCBI's taxonomy places the organism in Eukaryota, Metazoa, Chordata, Actinopteri, Salmoniformes, Salmonidae. The transcript is spliced from 8 exons.